Molecule: ribozyme, 80 nt
Filed under: unclassified sequences
Description: Hairpin ribozyme 1 from viruses-like metatranscriptomes
Rfam family: Hairpin ribozyme 1 from viruses-like metatranscriptomes
Source: Rfam by way of RNAcentral
CUGCGGUCGGGAUGUUGACUUAUGUCACUCCUGGAAGCAGUGUGGGGAAACACCAUCGAUGGAUGGGCACAUUAACCACA